Balaenoptera acutorostrata (minke whale) is the source of this 515-nucleotide long non-coding RNA. RefSeq lists it as uncharacterized. Lineage: Eukaryota; Metazoa; Chordata; Mammalia; Artiodactyla; Balaenopteridae. The transcript is spliced from 2 exons. The record is from RefSeq and is a predicted model, not a curated record.
UGAAGGAGGCGGUGCCUACCUACUCCGGGGGCGUGGCUGGGGCCCGUGGGCGGAGCCUUGGGCAGCCUGUCUUAAAAAAGUCGUGCCUCACGCUGAACAGUCUCUCACUGGUGUGUGCUUGAGGCUCAGUGAAAGGAUGGAAGUGUUUGUCACUAUUAGGGCUUCCCUGGUGGCGCACUGGUUAAGAAUCCACCUGCCAAUGCAGGGGACAUGGGUUCGAGCCCUGUUCCGGGAAGAUCCCACAUGCUGCAGAGCAACUAAGCCCAUGCACCACAACUACUGAGCCUGCACUCUAGAGCCCACAAGCCACAACUACUGAAACCUGAGUGCCACAAUUACUGAAGCAUGCGCGCCUAGAACCUGUGCUCCGCAACAAGAAGCCACCGUAAUGAGAAGCCUGCGCACCUCAACGAAGAGUAGCCACCGCUCGCUGCAACUAGAGAAAGCCCACGCACAGCCACAAAGACCCAACGCAGCCAAAAAUAAAUAAAUAAAGUAAAUAAAUUUUUUUUAAA